Molecule: ribosomal RNA, 834 nt
Filed under: Camporesia sambuci
Lineage: Eukaryota; Fungi; Ascomycota; Sordariomycetes; Xylariales; Xylariaceae
Also listed under: 1 other name
Description: partial large subunit ribosomal RNA
Rfam family: Eukaryotic large subunit ribosomal RNA
Source: RNAcentral
UUGCCCUAGUAACGGCGAGUGAAGCGGCAACAGCUCAAAUUUGAAAUCUGGCCCUCGUGGUCCGAAUUGUAAUUUGUAGAGGAUGCUUUUGGUGCGGUGCCUUCCGAGUUCCCUGGAACGGGACGCCGGAGAGGGUGAGAGCCCCGUACGGUUGGACACCUAGCCUCUGUAUAGCUCCUUCAACGAGUCGAGUAGUUUGGGAAUGCUGCUCUAAAUGGGAGGUAAAUUUCUUCUAAAGCUAAAUACCGGCCAGAGACCGAUAGCGCACAAGUAGAGUGAUCGAAAGAUGAAAAGCACUUUGAAAAGAGGGUUAAAUAGCACGUGAAAUUGUUGAAAGGGAAGCGUUUGCGACCAGACCUUUUCCGGGCGGAUCAUCCGGCGUUCUCGCCGGUGCACUUCGCCCGGUUUAGGCCAGCAUCGGUUUUCUUAGGGGGAUAAAGGCUUGGGGAAUGUAGCUCUUUCGGGAGUGUUAUAGCCCCUUGCGUAAUACCCUUUGGGGGACCGAGGACCGCGCUCUGCAAGGAUGCUGGCGUAAUGGUCGUCAACGACCCGUCUUGAAACACGGACCAAGGAGUCGAACAUUUGUGCGAGUGUUUGGGUGUUAAACCCUCACGCGUAAUGAAAGUGAACGGAGGUGAGAGCCCUUACGGGUGCAUCAUCGACCGAUCCUGAUGUCUUCGGAUGGAUUUGAGUAAGAGCAUAACUGUUCGGACCCGAAAGAUGGUGAACUAUGCGUGGAUAGGGUGAAGCCAGAGGAAACUCUGGUGGAGGCUCGCAGCGGUUCUGACGUGCAAAUCGAUCGUCAAAUCUGCGCAUGGGGGCGAAAGACUAUCG